GCAGGUUGUUCAUUUCGAAGGACGAUUGAGAAGUCCACAUAAACGUCCAAAAUUUCCAGGUGGAGGAACAAUGAGCAAUGGAGUCAGUUUCUACAGAAGUGCAUUCCCAAUUGCAAGGGAUGACAAUGGGAAAAACAAGGGUAGGCAAAAGAAAGGUCACUGAAACACAUCUUGACAUGGAUGGAAAACUUGCAAAGAGUUCACCCAAGUUCGGGGCCUUGGUUGUUUUCACCUCUGACGGGAAAGGGAAGACGACAACAAAAGAAACUCCCAAGCAUGGGGCCUCCAAUGUUCUCACCUCUCAUAGUUUAGGGAAGACAACAACAAAAGAAACACCCCCUCGCUAGAGUCGAAGGAUCAUUGGAGCUCUCAUUGCAUGGCCAAUCUGAAGUUUGAUGCCUUGCAUGUACAACUGCUAAUGGAUAAGGUUCAAAUUACUGAGGCUGAAAGUGAAAGGAUGAAAAAACUAGUUACUGAUCUGGAAAGGAGAUGCAUUGAACUCACAAAGAAUAUCAUGGAGUUGACCGAUAAGAAUGUCGAGUUGGAGAUGGAAGUGCAUAAACAACAGAUGCUGACAGAGAAAGUGGAGGUAGCGUGUGAGGUGAUAAUGAAACAAAACAAAUUUUUAGUUGACCAGUUUAAUAACAUGUUGGAUGCAUGUGCGAAAAACAUUGAACAUUGGAAACAGAGGUUCAAGGAGGCAGCUGGUCUAGCAAGCGAUAAAGUUGAUGAAAAGGGCAUGCCUCCUGUUACGGCGAGGAGUGGGGGACUAAAAAAUUUUGUUAAUUAGUUAUCGUUUGCCUUCAUAAGAGGCUUGUUCUUCUAUAAAAAUUAUCUAGAUUAUA
Cryptomeria japonica (Japanese cedar) is the source of this 845-nucleotide long non-coding RNA. RefSeq lists it as uncharacterized. The transcript is spliced from 3 exons. The record is from RefSeq and is a predicted model, not a curated record. Lineage: Eukaryota; Viridiplantae; Streptophyta; Pinopsida; Cupressales; Cupressaceae.